RNAcentral lists this ribosomal RNA (484 nucleotides) under uncultured bacterium. RNAcentral describes it as "partial 16S ribosomal RNA". It matches the Rfam family "Bacterial small subunit ribosomal RNA", at positions 30 to 507 of the family's 1533-position model. The record is from RNAcentral.
AUUGAACGCUGGCGGCAGGCCUAACACAUGCAAGUCGAGCGGAUGAAGGGAGCUUGCUCCUGGAUUCAGCGGCGGACGGGUGAGUAAUGCCUAGGAAUCUGCCUGGUAGUGGGGGAUAACGUCCGUAAACGGGCGCUAAUACCACAUACGUCCUGAGGGAGAAAGUGGGGGAUCUUCGGACCUCACGCUAUCAGAUGAGCCUAGGUCGGAUUAGCUAGUUUGUGGGGUAAAGGCCUACCAAGGCGACGAUCCGUAACUGGUCUGAGAGGCUGAUCAGGCACAUUGGAAGGGAGACACGGUCCAGACUCCUAAGGGAGGCAGCAGUGGGGAAUAUUGGACAAUGGGCGAAAGCCUGAUCCAGCCAUGCCGAGUGUGUGACGAAGGUCUUCGGAUUGUAAAGACCUUUAAGUUGGGAGGAAGGGCAGUCAGUUAAUACCUUGCUGUUUUGACGGUACCAACAGAAUAAGCACCGGCUAACUUCGUG